UAACCUCUCACCCUCUCUCUCCUUCUCGAUCUGUUCUUUUUCUCUAUGGGCUACAUCUGAAUAUAUUAGAUCAGGUUACUAAAAGUCAUAUUGCCCUGAACAAAUUGUGUGUCUUUGGUUUAUAACUCUCUGCAAUGAAAGUACUCAACGGCAAAUGAUCAUGUGCAUCUGCUCUUUUCUGAGAAUGAAAUAUGUAUCUCUCUGGAUAGAUGCCUAUGAACAAAUGUGACCAAUUAAUUGGAUUUGUUUGAUUUGUUUCAGUUUUUAGUCUGAAGAUCGCCAUUUUUUUACCUAAUACUUACUUUUGAAAGUUGCCUGCUGUCACCAAAAUGUUAGACUAGCAUACUGGAGAUUUCAAAAGUAACAGUUCGCGUGCCAUAAUAAGAACUCUAUUUUAACCUGUUGUGGUUUUAUAUCUGUGUACCUAUGCUUCCUUUGGAAUUUUGGUUUGGCUUAAUCAUUUUUCAAUAGGGCAGUGACCUGUCAGGGGUCGUGUUGAGCGGCAGCCUUGGCUAUCAGCUAUUGUUAGGCCUGGAAUCAUUAAGGAAAGUGUGAAUUGGGUGCAACCGUGAAGUCUCCAGUUCUUGGUCGCCAUCGUGGUUGUGCAACUUAUUUGAAUUUUCAUUCAUUUCUGUAGCACAGUGAUAUGAGUGACAACAAGCUCUGCACUGAAACUCGUACUUGCUCCCGGCAAUUCUGGUUCAACUUAAGGCUUUAAGGUUUUUCUCCUUUCAUAGUUAUUGUUGGCAUGGCUAAUUUCAUCCAACCGAUUUUAUGAUACUUUUGUGAUGCAGAAAUCUGCAAGGGGACGCCUUUUACCAGCGGGAUUCCUUACUCGAUACCUCAUAUUUCUGAUCUGGAGACGCUGGAUCUCUCUAUCAACCAAUUCUUAGGUAACUUGCCCUAGAGUUUCCAAUACAUCACAGGCAUCAAGACACUGCGAGGCGACUGAAUUUUAGGGAACUAUAUAUACUAGCUUUUCCUCGAUAUUCUCCUUCGGAUCAACAAAUGACCCGACCUGUCCUUCAAGGAGCACUUGUGAGCGGCUACCACGAGGUGACCAGUACACGAGCAGCUGCAUACCACAAGAGGAGCACACAGAUGAUGUAAUAUUCAGCCCAGCCCAUUGAAGAUGUAAGUACCAGUAAUAUGGUGAACAAAUACUGGUAAAAGUCCACAUUAAAAGAGUGAGAUGGUGAUGCUCGUGUCCUAGAUGGAUAAGCUGGUGACUCAUGCGCGGGCACGAUGGUGGUCCAGGUGCAAAGUUCAACCUCUGUAUAUGGGUACACAUCCUCCUCGCCGAGCCCCAAGUUCAACCUCUGACUGGGUACACAUCCUCCUUGCUGAGCUCAAUCUCAAGAAGUACCUUUGGUUGCUCUACAACACCAACAUCAAUGCGUUGGUUUGGCCAUGUUCUUCUGUGUAUUCUUUUUAUGGACAAUUUUUGUUUGUGGUGAGAUGGGGAGGUGCAAAGUGAGGAUGACUUUGACAUGUAAAUCUCACGGAAUAUAACAAAGCAUGCUUGCAUACUAUCAUAGCCUACAAAUGAUAUGAUAGAUGAUACUGGUUCUGUUGUGUUAUCAGACUUGUUAUGGUCCAUAACAUUACUGCUUUGAUUCUUCUGUGGAUCAAGUCAUAUUAUCCAUCGACCGGCUGUACCCUUUUGGAUAUCUUCAUACAAGAAACAAAAGCCAAGGCAAAACAUUGUCAGUUGUACUGUAUUUUGAAGAACAUUCUUACUGUUCUGACUGAAAAUAGAAUAUUGUUUUAACCUACUAUGAAUACUUUCAUAUUCUGCUUACACAAACAUUGCUUUGACCCACAUGUGAGCAGCGCUUUGCUCCGGCUAUUCUCCUUGAUAUUAUUAAGUGUUAUUUUUAUAUUGUUUUUAAAUGCUUUUGACUAUUGCUUUUUUUACAUCGUUUGAACUUAUGUUCUAUGAAACUGUAUAUUUGUAUAUAUGCACACCAUAAAAAUUCUUCCCUACCUAUCACUUCCUGUGCUAAAAUUGCUUGCAUACCACUUAGCUCAUCUUUUACAACGACUAUUCAUUUGAUGCUAUGGUAUGCAACCCCUCGUCCUAUAAGGCUUAAAUGUCCUACAUCAGCAUCAAAGUUUUUGGAUUUAGGAUCCUACACUUUUGUAACUCCCAAAGAUGUUGGCCCAUUUUAUCUUAUGAUCAUGCAUUCUCCGUAUGUAUGCCAGAUAGACCAAUUCCUAUAAGUAACUAAAUGCAUUUUAUACCCAACUUUAUUAUCCUCUAAACAAUCAUCGUUAUGAUAUAUGUUUUCAAGAUGCUGAAAUCAUCUUUAUUAACAUUUCAAUGCCCUAUUUGUUUGCCCGCCGUUCGGCGGGCAACGUGCGGCAAGCCGCGCCUCCUACAGUUACAGCUGGAUCUCUUUGAUUUUUCAUCAGUUUUCUAGGAAUGUAAUUGAAAUAAUACAUCAAGGUUGUCAUGUUGGCGACCGGGCGUGACGAGCCAAAGCCGCUUGAUGAACUAUUGGUGUGUGCCACUUCUGCGGGUUUUUUCUUUGAUGCCACCUCAGUAGUUAAAACAAUGACGGCUCCAAUGCCUAUGCUGCUUCUUUGCUUCAAAUUAUAGCAUUUGUUUUUAGUUUGACCGAUUUUGAAUUAUGAAACCCACUCACUCACCGAAUAUGCUCGACCUCUUCCUCCUUGGUGCUCGGCAGGAGGAGCUCAGGCUGCCACCACACAAAGGGAGAGGAAGCCAAGAUGAAUCAGUCCCGGCUUAUUGUCUGUGACCCGACGACAGAUACAACUACUUCGGGCCUAGGCGAGCAGCCGCCAGCCCUGCAUUUCAAUCCUAGGAUUUCUCAACGCUGAUUUUAUUAAGACAUUAAAAACCAAUAAUACUAAAGUAUUCCUUGUGUCCAGAGGUUUCCGGCAAAUGAUCAAGGUAUAUCUUCACUAAACGGCUGCACGAACGGUACAUUUGGAAUCUGGAUUAUCAGAACAUAGUCAAAUUUUCCUGUCCUGGAAACAUUUUCAAAUUUUGUGACAUACACACACCAAGAUGCUUUUAAGAUAUCCAUAGUUUAAAUACAGAAAUUGGUUCUAAAUUUUCUGUCUAUAUUAUUUGUUGAACAGUAAACAAGGACAUGUUUCUUCCAUGAUCUAAAAGCAACAAUUCCUCUUUUCUUCACUUUAGAACAUUUUGAAUUUAAUUUUGUGACUGAAGUUUCACAUAGUGGUCAACAGAGGUGUAUUUAGGUCCAAACUUACAGAGCUGUAACAACAGAGGUGUAUUUAACCGAACUAAUGUUACCUUAUUUAAAAUUUUGCUCGAGUUUAAACAUUCACAGAGACCUAAUUAAGAUUGAUUAAACUGUUCUUAUAUUAUAUGCUUGUUGGCGAAGUAUCAAGUGAAAAUGGUCAUUCAAUGAAAACUGGAAAACUUUCCUCGUACGCCUUUGGAUCACGAAUGUAUGGUAUAGAUCAGAGGUGGGAAUGCCACCAGCCACUUAACCACACUUUUCCCGAGAACCCCCUGCCCGUACGUGCUAGCUUGGUAAGUGUUCAGAAAAAAAACAUAUCAUGUUCAAUCUGUGCCGCCAUGGAGCCUCGUCCCAUGCCGAUUGCCAUGUGCGUUGGCCCUCCGGCGGACGUGUGCCCUAGCUCUCCAACGGCUCCAUCCUCAAGCACUCUUCCUCGCCCUCCAAUGGUUCCGUCCAGGAGAGCUCCCCCUCCGCCGGCAGUGAUCCCCCACCUUUCGCCGGCCCCGACCAUGAUUCAGAUGCUUGAAUGUUAAUUGACAACCUUUGGAAGAGGAAGAAAUUCUACCAAGGGUUCUUCUUGAGUAUGUUCUUGGUGAUGCAAAUCGGCUGACACAUGUAUUUUACUAGGAGAUUAUCAUUUUCUAGGAUUAUGAUGCAGUCCUGAAUGACAACUUAGAUGGCCUUGUAUCUCUGAAUAUUUGUACUGAAGCUCAUUGGUACUCAUGCCGACAUUUUGCUAGGAGAUUAUCAUUUUAUCUCUGAAUAUUUAUACUGAAGCACAUGUGUUGGAUGAAUUUUAGAUGGCCUUGUAUCUCUGAAUAUUUGUACUGAAGCUCAUGUGUUGAAUCAAUUUUAGAUGGCCUUGUAUCUCUGAAUGUUUGUACUAAAGCUCUUGGAAGCUUGUGUCAAUAUUUUGCCAGGAGAUUAUCAUUU
Molecule: long non-coding RNA, 4169 nt
Organism: Triticum aestivum (bread wheat)
Lineage: Eukaryota; Viridiplantae; Streptophyta; Magnoliopsida; Poales; Poaceae
Exons: 6
Source: RefSeq, a predicted model, not a curated record